GACGAACGCUGGCGGCGUGCUUAACACAUGCAAGUCGAACGGAAAGGCCCUGCUUGCAGGGUACUCGAGUGGCGAACGGGUGAGUAACACGUGGGUGAUCUGCCCUGCACUUCGGGAUAAGCCUGGGAAACUGGGUCUAAUACCGGAUAGGAGCCAUUUUUAGUGUGAUGGUUGGAAAGUUUUUUCGGUGUAGGAUGAGCUCGCGGCCUAUCAGCUUGUUGGUGGGGUAAUGGCCUACCAAGGCGGCGACGGGUAGCCGGCCUGAGAGGGUGGACGGCCACAUUGGGACUGAGAUACGGCCCAGACUCCUACGGGAGGCAGAAGUGGGGAAUAUUGCACAAUGGGCGCAAGCCUGAUGCAGCGCCGCCGCGUGGGGGAUGACGGCCUUGGGGUUGUAAACUCCUUUCGCUAGGGACGAAGCUUUUUGUGACGGUACCUAGAUAAGAAGCACCGGCUAACUACGUG
Molecule: ribosomal RNA, 465 nt
Filed under: uncultured bacterium
Lineage: Bacteria
Description: partial 16S ribosomal RNA
Rfam family: Bacterial small subunit ribosomal RNA
Source: RNAcentral